AUGCGUGAUCUCAAACACGCAGCAGGCGCUUGGGUUGAUGAACUUCCGUCAGUUCUGUGGGGCUUGAGGACAACUCCUAAUCGGUCGACCGGACGAACUCCUUUCUUUUUGGUUUACAGAGUCGAAGCAGUUUUGCCAAGUGACCUGCUCCACAACGCACCCCGAGUCGAGCUCUUCUCCGAAGAGGAAGCAGAGCAGGCCCGACAAGAUUCAGUCGAUCUCUUGGAGGAGGAAAGAGAGAUGGCCUUUAUCCGGUCGACCAUCUACCAGCAAGACUUGCGUCGAUUCCACGCCAGAAAUGUGAGGGGUCGAGCCUUUCAAGAAGGAGACCUAGUUCUUCUAGUGGAUCAACAGAAACCACACAAGCUUGCCCCGACUUGGGAGGGCCCCUUCAUCAUCACCAAAGUUCUCCACAAUGGAGCAUACCAUCUUUACAGUAUUGAGCAUCAGAAAGAUGAGCCACGGGCUUGGAACGCGGAGCUGCUCCGCCCCUUUUAUACUUAA
RNAcentral lists this ribosomal RNA (504 nucleotides) under Triticum aestivum (bread wheat). RNAcentral's name for it is "partial small subunit ribosomal RNA". Lineage: Eukaryota; Viridiplantae; Streptophyta; Magnoliopsida; Poales; Poaceae. The record is from RNAcentral.